GAAUCAUGUCAGAGAAGAGGGAACAUCAGCAGAAGGAAUGAGAUGCCUCAAAAUUCGAUCUUGGAAGUUGAAAUUUUUGAUGUGUGGGGAAU
This 92-nucleotide small RNA is filed under the name Arabidopsis thaliana (thale cress). RNAcentral's name for it is "ATSL094040". Lineage: Eukaryota; Viridiplantae; Streptophyta; Magnoliopsida; Brassicales; Brassicaceae. The record is from RNAcentral.